UACGAAGGGGGCUAGCGUUGCUCGGAAUUACUGGGCGUAAAGGGCGCGUAGGCGGAUAGUUUAGUCAGAGGUGAAAGCCCAGGGCUCAACCUUGGAAUUGCCUUUGAUACUGGCUGUCUUGAGUACGGGAGAGGUGAGUGGAACUCCGAGUGUAGAGGUGAAAUUCGUAGAUAUUCGGAAGAACACCAGUGGCGAAGGCGGUUCUCUGGGACGGUACUGACGCUGAGACGCGAAAGCGUGGGGAGCGAACAGG
Molecule: ribosomal RNA, 253 nt
Filed under: uncultured bacterium
Lineage: Bacteria
Description: partial 16S ribosomal RNA
Rfam family: Bacterial small subunit ribosomal RNA
Source: RNAcentral